This 292-nucleotide ribosomal RNA is filed under the name uncultured bacterium. RNAcentral's name for it is "partial 16S ribosomal RNA". It matches the Rfam family "Bacterial small subunit ribosomal RNA", at positions 505 to 796 of the family's 1533-position model. The record is from RNAcentral.
GUGUCAGCAGCCGCGGUAAAACGUAGGAGGCGAGCGUUAUCCGAAUUUACUGGGUGUAAAGCGCGUGCAGGCGGUUUGGUAAGUUGGAUGUGAAAUCUCCCGGCUCAACUGGGAGAGGUCGUUCAAAACUGCCAGACUAGAGGACGGUAGAGGAAGGCGGAAUUCCCGGUGUAGUAGUGAAAUGCGUAGAUAUCGGGAGGAACACCUGUGGCGAAAGCGGCCUUCUGGACCGUCCCUGACGCUCAGACGCGAAAGCUAGGGGAGCGAACGGGAUUAGAAACCCGCGUAGUCC